RNAcentral lists this ribosomal RNA (454 nucleotides) under uncultured bacterium. RNAcentral describes it as "bacterial SSU rRNA". It matches the Rfam family "Bacterial small subunit ribosomal RNA", at positions 28 to 523 of the family's 1533-position model. The record is from RNAcentral.
AGCGAACGCUAGCGGCGGGCUUAACACAUGCAAGUCGAGCGCGUGGCUUCGGCCACGAGCGGCGAACGGGUGAGUAACACGUAGGUCAUCUGCCCUUUGGUGGGGAAUAACCCGAGGAAACUCGGGCUAAUACCGCAUACUGCCUUCGGGUCAAAGGCUUCGGCCGCCAGAGGAUGAGCCUGCGUCGCAUUACCUAGUUGGUGGGGUAAUGGCCCACCAAGGGGACGAUGCGUAGCUGGUCUGAGAGGAUGAUCAGCCACACUGGGACUGAGACACGGCCCAGACUCCUACGGGAGGCAGCAGUGGGGAAUAUUGCGCAAUGGGGGAAACCCUGACGCAGCCACGCCGCGUGGGUGAUGAAGGCCUCGGUUGUAAGCCCUGUCGGGGGGACGAAGUACUGACGGUACCCGUCCAACGAAAGCACCGGCUAACUCCGUGCCAGCAGCCGCGGUAA